AUCUCUUCUCUAUUAGCUCAAAUCAAACGUAGUAUCUGUCUUACAAAGUAAAGCACCUGAUGUAUUUUUUAUCUGUGUUCUGGGAAUUAAAUUAAUGUUUGGAAUUAGGAGAUGGAUUGGGUGCUUACUCUAUCCGCUCCACGCCUCAACUUGGAAUUGCACUACUUCCAGGAAUAGUACACUCCUU
Molecule: small nuclear RNA, 187 nt
Organism: Vicugna pacos (alpaca)
Lineage: Eukaryota; Metazoa; Chordata; Mammalia; Artiodactyla; Camelidae
Product: U2 spliceosomal RNA
Source: RefSeq, a predicted model, not a curated record